AAUAAAUCUUCAUUCUGAGAUGGCCAUAACCAUGGUAUUAACAAACAUGACGUUCUCUAUCUUUACAGCAAAAAACUGGCAGCCAUUCUGAAGCUGAGUUUGCUACAGAUUAUUUAUUAGCAAGGUCUGCUGCAUACUAAUUUCUGCUGUUGCUGGCUUUGGGAUUGUGCAUGACAUGAUCUGGCUUUAUCUCUUAGCUCUUGGAAAGCCCUCAUUGUUUCCACAUCAAAACCUCCAGCAAACUGAUGUACGCGGAAGGCAAAUCUAACACCUUGUACUAUCAGCUCUUCUUCUUCAGCGCCCCCACCAACAGUUUCAAGCUCUGCAGAUACUCUCUUCAUAUACUUCAUUGCUAGUUUUACAGAAGCCAACUUGAUCUACAAUAAUGUGCAGUAAUUAGCUAACGCCCAACAAAGGUACAGUGGAUUAAAAUAAAUGCACUACAGUUAUUGAAAAGAAUAGGGCCUAUAAUUACCUGUUGAUCACAUCCCCUUUUAAUCCUUGUGUUAUUAUUGAGUAAAAAUUAUAUUUCUCCAUUCUAAUUUCUUAAAAUUCUGAUGGGUUUUAGUAACAUAUGAUAGCAUUACAAGAAAAAGUAGCAAAAAGAAAAAGAGAGCUAGCUUGCCUAUAGGGUAAACAUGGAGAAUCUUUACUAACGAAUCCAAAGUAAGAAAGAAGCAGACAAACAAAAGCAUUUUUACAGAUCUGGGAAUUCAUAUGUGCGCAUGCAGGGGCGGGAAGAGAAAAAUAGGCAAUAUCUAACCUCCUUUUUGUCAUCUAGUAACCACUAUUCUUUGUUUAGUAAUGCACGCUCAGUGGAUUGUGUCAAAAGCAAGUUUAGUUGGCCUCCCCAAGAUUACAACCAUGAUUGAUUAAAGGGGACAAUUUUUAAAUCCAUCUCUAGAUUAUCAAAAGUGCAAUUUGCUGGGAUGGGUAUUAUUGUAAUUACAUUUCACAUGAAACGUCAAUAGAAUGGACAAUUAUUGUCCAAUUCCGCGUAGAGCUACCCAACUUGAAUCUGUUUUACGCGAGGAAGACAAAGGUUGGAAGUACAUGCCUAAAAUUUGCAGUUGAAAAAAAGCGUACAAGUUCAGUUACCUGGCUUACAAUUCCAGUCUCAAGCAUCCAACUCAUUGGAAUUUGAAACCCCUUGUAUCUGUUUGUUGCAGAUUCUCUCAUUCUUGAUAGAUUGUAAGCACCAUGCUCUAAUCUGUGAAAUUCAAUAUCUCACACAGGUAACAAUUAAUAUAACCAUAAUGCCUAGACAUCAAAGCGAAAACACAAAUUGGGCUGCUAAAUAAGAUAUAUACUUUUCAAGCAAAGCCUGCAUUUUCUUAAGAGCAGAACCACAUGAAUGACGAGCAUCAUCACGAAACGAUGAAGCCUCUGAUUCUAACUUCUUGAGAUCACAGUAACCAAAUGCAGCCUCACGUAAUGCAUCUGCCUUCUGCUCUGGCCAAUCAAAGUGCUUAAGCACAGCUCUUUCAUCCACCAGAUAGGAUAGCUCAUCAUCGAGCCAUUUAACAAAAGGCACCACAUCUUCAAUAUCUGUAAAUGCAGCAUUCUCAACUUCUUUGAUCAAAAACCUUAUGAAAUCUCCCUGUGUUUCUACAUCUGUUUUUAUCGCUAGCAAAUGCGUCGACCUGUUCUCGAUUUCCCCUAUCAUGUCGCGAGCAUUGGCGGUUGCCGGCAACACAUCCGGCGCUCCGGUACCAGACUCCCUCCGAGAAUCUCUCCGCAUCAGAGAGUGAUAAAACUCCACUACCUCUGGCACUCUCCUGACCUUAGCGGGCCCCAUUCUCGUACCCUUUAGCGGAGGCGGAGGUGGUGGCGGGGCAGGUGGUUUGACCGCGGCUGGAGGAGGAGGUGGUGGAGUUAGAGGUGGUGGCGGGGGUGCUGAAACGGAUUGAUCAGAGACGCUAGAUGAUGUUGAUGAGGAUAAAGAGUUUGAUGAUGACGAUCGUUUCGGCGGUGGUUUAGGAACUCUAGGAACGCGAGAUCUCAGGUUAGACAGAGUCGAGUCGACGAGUUCCUCCGAGUUGCAUCUAGAGUGCCUCGGUUUCUCUACGUCCACUUCGUCUUUCUUGGAAUCUAAAGUUUCAGACUUUUGAUUGUGAGUCUCAUGACUUGCACUUGCAAUGUCCAUACAUUUCACUCCCUUUUUCAAAUUCCUGAUCAGAUUAGACUUCGUGGAGAAGUCCAUUAACCCUUGAAACCUCUGCGAAGACGAAAGCUCUUCACUUUCUUUAUCCGACAACGUUUUCUUCAGCUCCACAAUCUCUGCCUCCAAGGCCCUGAUCUUCUUCUCGCUUUCUCUCAUCUCUACUUCAAACUUAACCUUCGCUUCGCUCCACUCUGUUCUGAGCCUCUCAUUUUCACUCUCCAAGCACUCAAUCUUCAUCACUGCCUUUUCAAGUUCUGCAUUUUUUGUUGAAAUCUCAUUCUCCAGUACAGGAACUAUAGCGACGCUCUCUUUCAACAGCUUGAACUCAAGAAGCUCCGUUUUUAGUCUAGAUUCUCGGACGCGGAGCUCUUCGACAAGGCGUAAAAGCUCAGCAACAUCAGGAGGACGGGGCUGGACCUGGACGGAGGAACGUGGGAAAUAAACACCGAAAGAACGUGAGAAGACAGCCUUCUGUGGGGCGACUUUCCCGGAGCUGGGAGAAGGAAGAGGCGGCUUGGGCGGCGUUUCAGUUUUGGGAUGCGCUGGCGACUUCUGCAGACCCAUUGCCAACCUGACCUUUCCAGCAACCAUUACUGUAAUGUAAGCGUCCCCGAGUAUAUAGUUUUUUAGGGUCUAGUCUGGUUUUUGAUAUAGCAGAGUUGAGCAUAUACAAAAACGUCGCUGUCUGUGGUGUCUGGAACUUGGAGUUUCUGGUCUCCAGUAGAGAGAGAGAGAG
This 2900-nucleotide unclassified non-coding RNA is filed under the name Hevea brasiliensis (rubber tree). Lineage: Eukaryota; Viridiplantae; Streptophyta; Magnoliopsida; Malpighiales; Euphorbiaceae. The record is from RNAcentral.